This 108-nucleotide non-coding RNA is filed under the name Prymnesium polylepis. The record is from RNAcentral. Lineage: Eukaryota; Haptophyta; Prymnesiales; Prymnesiaceae.
CGAACAGAAAGGACACGGCUUCUCGAAGACGUUGAUGCGCCUGCCGCUAGGAGGCUGGGCGUGUGAGACAACGCUUCAAGCGACGCGAAACGCCGUUCCCGGCUGGAC